This 520-nucleotide long non-coding RNA is filed under the name Felis catus (domestic cat). Its description in RNAcentral is "lncRNA (ENSFCAG00000042377.2)". Lineage: Eukaryota; Metazoa; Chordata; Mammalia; Carnivora; Felidae. The record is from RNAcentral.
UUUAAAUGAUCCUGUGUGUUUGGAGCGCCCACUUGAGAGAGUAAGCUUGGGAGACAGGGAUUGCAACUUGGACUUCUCUUCUUCCCUUUAGGUCAGCUGUCCAAGUGAUGCUCCAUGAAUGCUCUUAACUUACUGACCAAUUAACAGCCACAGCUGGGCACUGAAUCUGUGCUUGAAACAUGAACAUGGUGAUGACUGCAGUAAUAGUAACAGCUUGUUGGAUAUGCAACCUCUGUUUCCUCCUUUCCAGAAGCUCGCAGUGUUUUGAAGAGGCGGUGACAGGUUCAGCACAUAUCAGCUACCAUGGGGAGCACGCGUCAGUCUAUCGGUGGGAGUCAAUGGCAACAUUACUGCGUCCCGAGGCUCUCUCUGACCCGGUCAACUUGACCUUGUAAAGAAAGAGAAGCAGAGUGAUGGAGAUGAAGUCAUUUCUUUCACCCCAGCAUUCUGGGCCUGGAGACUGUUCCUCUCUACCUCACCAAGUCGCUCCCACUCAUCUCGGUCCUACUUUUAAGCCCCC